AUGUAUGUGGUGGAGAGUAGAGGAGGAUGUUAAGGCACAUGGCGUACAAUGUUGAUGACUCUGGAGAGGCUUGGUCGGAUUCACCCUCGAUUGGAUUUAGCAUUUUGCACAGUCGGAAUGAACUCCAGUGCUAACUUUGAUAAUUUUUCGUGCGGGUUUGUUACUAUUAUCUUAGAUUUGUUUUCUUGUUAAGGUGGGUUGUAUAUAUCAAUUGUGA
This 217-nucleotide long non-coding RNA is filed under the name Olea europaea (common olive). Its description in RNAcentral is "long non-coding RNA (OEUR_LNC012335)". Lineage: Eukaryota; Viridiplantae; Streptophyta; Magnoliopsida; Lamiales; Oleaceae. The record is from RNAcentral.